GGUAGCGUGGCCGAGCGGUCUAAGGCGCCGGUUUAAGGCACCGGUCCGAGAGGGCGUGGGUUCGAAUCCCACCGCUGCCA
RNAcentral lists this transfer RNA (80 nucleotides) under Fasciola hepatica (liver fluke). It matches the Rfam family "tRNA". Rfam says of the family: Transfer RNA (tRNA) molecules are approximately 80 nucleotides in length. Their secondary structure includes four short double-helical elements and three loops (D, anti-codon, and T loops). Further hydrogen bonds mediate the characteristic L-shaped molecular structure. tRNAs have two regions of fundamental functional importance: the anti-codon, which is responsible for specific mRNA codon recognition, and the 3' end, to which the tRNAs corresponding amino acid is attached (by aminoacyl-tRNA synthetases). tRNAs cope with the degeneracy of the genetic code in two manners: having more than one tRNA (with a specific anti-codon) for a particular amino acid; and 'wobble' base-pairing, i.e. permitting non-standard base-pairing at the 3rd anti-codon position. The record is from Rfam by way of RNAcentral. Lineage: Eukaryota; Metazoa; Platyhelminthes; Trematoda; Plagiorchiida; Fasciolidae.